RNAcentral lists this transfer RNA (73 nucleotides) under Paramuricea clavata. It matches the Rfam family "tRNA". Rfam says of the family: Transfer RNA (tRNA) molecules are approximately 80 nucleotides in length. Their secondary structure includes four short double-helical elements and three loops (D, anti-codon, and T loops). Further hydrogen bonds mediate the characteristic L-shaped molecular structure. tRNAs have two regions of fundamental functional importance: the anti-codon, which is responsible for specific mRNA codon recognition, and the 3' end, to which the tRNAs corresponding amino acid is attached (by aminoacyl-tRNA synthetases). tRNAs cope with the degeneracy of the genetic code in two manners: having more than one tRNA (with a specific anti-codon) for a particular amino acid; and 'wobble' base-pairing, i.e. permitting non-standard base-pairing at the 3rd anti-codon position. The record is from Rfam by way of RNAcentral. Lineage: Eukaryota; Metazoa; Cnidaria; Anthozoa; Malacalcyonacea; Plexauridae.
GACCGCGUAGCUCAGUUGGCAGAGCAUUGGGCUAGUAUUCCAAAGGUGGUAGGUUCGAUUCCCACCGUGGUCA